Rhododendron vialii is the source of this 107-nucleotide small nucleolar RNA. The record is from RefSeq and is a predicted model, not a curated record. NCBI's taxonomy places the organism in Eukaryota, Viridiplantae, Streptophyta, Magnoliopsida, Ericales, Ericaceae.
AUGUCAUGGUGCGGACACUUGCGAAUGAGAUCCUCAUAUCGCUCCCAAGCCUCAUAGAACUGUUCAUUCCCAGCUUGUUGGAAAGUGGUGAUCUUCUGCCGAAGUUU